RNAcentral lists this ribosomal RNA (512 nucleotides) under uncultured bacterium. Its description in RNAcentral is "partial 16S ribosomal RNA". It matches the Rfam family "Bacterial small subunit ribosomal RNA", at positions 28 to 523 of the family's 1533-position model. The record is from RNAcentral.
GACGAACGCUGGCGGCGUGCCUAAUACAUGCAAGUCGAGCGGAUUGAUGGGAGCUUGCUCCCUGAUAUCAGCGGCGGACGGGUGAGUAACACGUGGGCAACCUGCCUAUAAGACUGGGAUAACUUCGGGAAACCGGAGCUAAUACCGGAUAAUCCCUUUCCUCUCAUGAGGAAAGGCUGAAAGAUGGUUUACGCUAUCACUUAUAGAUGGGCCCGCGGCGCAUUAGCUAGUUGGUGAGGUAACGGCUAACCAAGGCAACGAUGCGUAGCCGACCUGAGAGGGUGAUCGGCCACAGUGGGACUGAGACACGGCCCAGAAUCCUACGGGAGGCAGCAGUAGGGAAUCUUCCGCAAUGGACGAAAGUCUGACGGAGCAACGCCGCGUGAGUGAUGAAGGUUUUCGGAUCGUAAAACUCUGUUGUUAGGGAAGAACAAGUACGAGAGUAACUGCUCGUACCUUGACGGUACCUAACCAGAAAGCCACGGCUAACUACGUGCCAGCCGCCGCAGUAA